AAAACAUCUCUUUUUGAUUAAAAUAAUAAGUUGACUCUGCCCAAUGAAGUUUUAAUGGCUGCAGUAUUUUGACUGUACAAAGGUAGCAUAAUCAAUUGAUUUUUAAAUGAAAUCUUGAAUGAAAGAGGUGAUGAGAUAUAUACUUUAUUUAAUUUAUUAAUUGAAUUUAAAUUUAAAGUUAAAAUUCUUUAAUAAUUUUAAGGGACGAGAAGACCCUAUAGAAUUUUAUAUAAAUAAUAUUUUUUUUAUAUAUUAAAUAUUAAAUAUAUUUAUUUGGGAGGAAUAUUAAAAUAAAAAAACUUUAAUUAUUUAUUUACAUUUAUUAAUGAAUCAUAAUUAUUUUAUAAAUUAAGUUAAAAAUUAAAUUACCUUAGGGAUAACAGCGUAAUAUUUUUUUAAAGAUCUUAUUAAAAAAAAUGUUU
RNAcentral lists this ribosomal RNA (422 nucleotides) under Epyris sp. Its description in RNAcentral is "partial large subunit ribosomal RNA". Lineage: Eukaryota; Metazoa; Arthropoda; Insecta; Hymenoptera; Bethylidae. The record is from RNAcentral.